GUUAAGGAUCUGCUGUUGCCAUGAGCUGUGGUGUAGGUCACAGACAUGGCUUGGAUCCUGUGUUGCUGUGGCUGUGGUGUAGACCAGCAGCUGCAGCUCUGAUUUGACCCCUAUCCUGGGAACCUCCAUAUGCUGUGGGUGCAGCCCUAAAAAAGACAAAAGGAAAAAAAACAAACAAACUCCAAUUAAGGAGUUCCCAUUGUGGCUCAGGAGUAAUGAGCCAGAGCAGUAUCCAUGAGGAUGCGGGUUCAGUCCUUGGCCUCACUCAGUGGUUUAAAGGGUUGCUGUGAGCCACAGUGUAGGUCACAGAUGCAGCUCGGAUCCUGCAUUGCUGUGGCUGUGGCCAGUGGCUACAGCUGGGAUUUGACCCCUAGCCUUGGGGGGGGGGGGGGCUGUACUGAGGGUGUGGCCCUAAAAAGACAAAACCAAACAAAACCCCGAUAGAGGGGUUCUAAGAGGGAGAAAGCAGUGGCCUGCCUGCAAGACAGAUCAGGUGGCACUUCUAUACCACCAACACAGAAGGAGAUUAGCUGGGCAAGUUGCUUAUGAUGAAACCACACACAACACAAACGAGAGUAAUUGAAAACGACGGAAAAGAUUUUCGUUAGAAAAAUACGAUUUGAAAGACGUACAAGAUUCACAGGACGUUUGGGUGUUUGAUGCGAAGAAAUAAACAAACGAGAGAAAUAGUCUGUAGGAAAUAGAAAAACAUAACUGCUGACGGUCAAGUCCUGAUGCAGUUCCUUGGCGCUGGGAGAAAUCAAAUUUGGGGAAAGUAGAACACUGACAAGGAAAAAAUGUUCCCAGCAUGCAGAGGAAAGUUUAAAAUGCUUAUGGGGCAAAACAAAUCAGUUUAGAGACGUUGAGAAGAGUCACCAAAGCCAACUUGUGACAAAUGGGAUUUCCUGCAAAGGAGGGUGGGACCAUGGCUCAGAGGCGCUAAUUACAGGAAGGGCAGAAGAGAGGUGUCAGCCAAGGGAGCAGAAAGAUGUCUGCAUGCUGAGCUCUCAGUGAAGCUUUGGAAGAGAACCAGCUCCAGACAUGUUCCAGCAGCAUUCAUACAAGACACUCAAAACUCAGUGCAUGCUCAUGGAGAGAGAAAAAUCACAGAAGAGCCAGCUCUGGUGUGGCUUCAUCUCAUCUCAGCCACAAGAAAGGAUGCCAUGGUAUCAAACCGCCAAGCACUGGUGAGGGAAAAAAGAAAUCACUAUGAAAAAUUCCACAAUUGGGAGUUCCCGUUGUGGCACAGCGGAAACGAGUCUGACUAGCAUCCACGGGGAUGCAGGUUCGAUCCCUGGCCUCGCUCAGUGGGUUGAGGCUCUGGCGUUGCUCUCAGCUGUGGUGUAGGUUGCAGAUGCUGAUCAGAUAUGGUGUUGCUGUGGCUGUGGUGUAGGCUGGCAGCUACAGCUGUGAUUUGACCCCUAGCCUGGGAACCUCCAUAUGCUGCAGGAGUGGCCCCCCCCAAAAAAAUUCCACAAUGAAGCCAUUGUAAAAUUCUCUUCCCCCCAACACAGUGCUAAAAUAAUUAUCUUUAUCGUUAAUACACUCAGGACCCUGGGUGGAGGGGGGAGAGAAACUCCAUUCUAAGGAAGCAAAGGAAUCCUGCAGCCAAGUGGAUUUACCCCCUAAAUGGGACAUUUUUUGCGUCAUGCAGAUUAUUUGCAUCAGAGCAGUCAGGAAGUGAAAAGAGGGUUUGAGGCUUAAUCCACACUUCAGAAAGACAUCAAAAACCAGAGAGCAAAACAGAUGAUGGCUUUGCAAAGUUCUGCGAAAAUUAGGGCACAGCCGGGUCAUCCUUGUCUGCAAACCUAUCAAUCUGUGGAGCAGGGACAAAAUGUCUUUAGUAGGAUUUUCUAACGAUGACUAAAUAAUUUGCAUAUUCUUCUGUGAGGGAGGAAACCAAAAUGAGCUGAUGGUAAUGUGUUUGAUAUUUUCCUCUGUAGAUUAGCGCUCCUUAAAAAGGGGGAUAAAUCUUCCCACGUGAAAAUUUGGAAGUGAAAACCUUUUAAAGGAUUAAAGUACUUGCUAAAAUCCCCUCGACUGGCAUGAGCUUUGAAGAAAAAAAUUACAAUUGUUUGGGAAAGAGAUCUACCCAAGACAGGAUAUUUUUAGAGCCAGGCAUCCAUGAGCCUGCUAAAAUGUCUUUUUCCUAAUUGCAGAAAUUCCAGAGAGUCCCUUGACUUUAUGGAGCACCCUAUUUAAUACGUAGAAAACGGAAGUGGCUGGUCCGGGUCCCCAGGACCGAAUUCCCUUGCCGUUUGUAGAAUCGAUGAAUCCGUUCCUGGUGAGUGUACUUGUGUGUGUGUGCCUUCCAUGAGAUGCUUAGUAGAACGUAAUUCUUAACAUUGACCUUACCCUACAGGUGUUGGGGGGAUUAGGUAGGUAUCUUCUGCUAUAUUGAUUGUGUUGACUGCUGUCUGCAGUGGGUCUUCAGAGAUGGAGAUUCAACUUAGGAUUUCCAUUAAGGCAUGUGCUUGGGUCCGCCUGGGACAAGGAGGGAGCGGACGAGACAGCACGGCCACCUGUGGUCCCUUUGGCUCUGAGCCAUAGCCGAGUUGAGAGCCGUUCAUCCGGUCCAUGGCAUGGCACCUUUGCUGGGCGUGAAUUACAAGGGAAAAUCAGACACAAAAGGAGAAGAGGAUACAAGCAAAUCGUGGACCUGAGUGUGUAGGAUUUAAGCCCUGCUCCUAGCACAGCACACAUCUUCACUCUCUCCAUCUCCACAACAGCCUGUGAAGGAAGGUAUGGACCCUUCUGGCCGAUUCUCCUAAAUUAGAAGUUUGAGGCAGGAUGUUUGAGAAUGCACCUCAAGAUCCCACAAUUAGCAAAUGUGGAAGGUCUGGAUGCAGGGCGUGGGGGAAGGAAAUGACUUGUAUUUAAGUGCUGGGGGGCUGAUGAUUAAUUUCAAAAUAUGGUCACAACCUUUGGAAAACUCGUAAGGUCUAGAAUUUUUGAGGUGGAAGGGCAGAAGUUCCUUCUAGGACAGAAAUGCCCAGAUCCUUGCUGGGGAGUCAUCGGCUUCUCCUGUGUAGCAGCUGCCUUCUCACCUCCCUGAUGGUGACUCUUGGGUCUUCCACUGAGUAGCCAUUCCUGUGGUGGCAGCAGAAGUUAGAGAAGGAGUAGGUGUAGUGUCACAGACUGUCUCCUCAACCAGCCUCCCCUAAAUGCUUCUUCAGUGACCUCUGGUUUUUGGACUUCCACGUUCAUUUCUGCUUGGUCCACUUUUAGCAAGAACCCUGUUCAGAUGAACCAGGGCCCCCAGCCCUCCAUAUCUGCUCACCUCUGAAUGUGGUCACCUCUGUAUCUAAUCGCUUCUGUGCCUGUUCACCUCCACAUCUGGUCACCUCUGAAUCUGAUCACUUGCAUGUCUGGUGAUCUCCAUGUGUGGUCACCUCCAUGUCUGUUCACCUCCACAUCUGGUCACCUCCACGUCUAAUCGCCUCCGUGUCUGGUCACCUCCACGUCUGAUCACCUCCAAGUCUGGUCACCUCCACGUCUGUUCUUCUCCACGCCUGGUUACCUUCAUAUAUGAUCACUUCCACAUCUUAUCAUCUCCUUAUCUGGUCAGAUCCAUGUGUGAUCACCUGCACAUCUAAUCCCCUCUAAAUCUGAUCACCUCCACGUCUGAUCAUCUCAUUAUCCAGUCCCCUCCCUGUGUGAUCACCUCCAUGUCUGCUCACCUCCUGUGUGAUCACCUCCCCAUCUGAUCUGUCUGGUCACCUCCAUAUCUGAUCACUUCCACAUCCACUCACCUCCAUAUCCGAUUGGGUCCUCAUUCUCCACCAUCCCCAGGUGAUGUCCCCCUGCUCUGCCUUCAGCAGGACUUGGUUUAGCUGGAAUCCUCUCACCCCUGAUGUUUCUCUUAGUUGUCUUCCGUCCACAGAUCCCACCUACUCCUUGGCAAUAAACCCCCUCUUGGUCACCUCUUUGGAGAUGAGUCUGGCUCUGUAUACGGGUUACUUUUCCCAUAUUGCAAUCGUCCCAAAUGAAAUCUGCCUUUACCACUUUAACUUUUUCCAUACUCUAUUUUUUCUUUAACAGCAGUAGUAAUAGUAGCAGUUGUUGUAGCAAUAAUUGGAAUAGGCAUAGUCAGGGGAGUAGCCGUAGUAGCAACAGUGGAAGUCGUUGUUGUGUAGCCGUUGCUCUGGUAGCCGUUGUGGUACCAACGGUAUUUAUUACAGCACUAGUUGUAGAUGUUGCAGUCAGAAUACUUGUAAAACCAGCUGUGGUGGUAGUAGUUGAAGUAGUACCAGGGGUUUUGGUAGGAGUAGUAGCCAUCAUCAUGGUAGCCGUUUAGCAGCGGUAAUAGCAGCAGGUGAGGUGACAGUCAUUGUAGUAGAACUGGUUGUAGUCAUGGCAGUUGUACCAUGGUGGCAGCUGUGAUGGGGGUGCCCGUGCUGGUGGUCAUGACUAUAACUGUAGUAAAUGUUAGUGGUGGUUGUGUGAUGGUGACAGUGGGACUAAUCAUUGGACUCAUUGUAGCACUAGCGAUACUUGUAGGAUACUAGUGAUACUUUGUAGCAGAUGUUGUGUAAGUGAGAGCUGUAGUGAUAACUGCAAGAGCUGUGGUGGUAGGAGUACUAAUUAGUGUAAUAACUGUAGUUGUGGCACUAGAGUAGUGUUUGUCUUAGUAGCAGAUUAAGUGCUGUAAGUGCAGAGUUAAGUAGUUCUUGUGGUGGGUCUAGUAGUUCUAAUUAUAAUAAUUGCAGUCGUAGCGCUAGUAGUAAUUGUUGUAGUGUUUGCUGUAAGAGGAGUUGUGAGAUAACUGUAGUACCACAUGGAAAGGUUGUGGUGGGGGUGGCAGUCGAACUCAUUGUAGUCGUAGCACUGGUAUAAUUGUAGAAGUUUGCGGUAGUCAUGGUCGCAGUUUUUGUAGCAGUGGCAGUUGUACUAGUUAUGGCAGUCAAAGAAGUUGUGAUAAUGGGAGUUCCCAUCGUGGCUCAGUGGAAACAAAUCUGACUAGUAACCAUGAGGACGCGGGUUCGAUCCCUGGCCUCAGUCAGUGCGCUGAGGAUCCAGCAUUGCUGUGAGCUGUGGUGUAGGUCACAGAUGCACCCUGGAUCCCGUGUUGCUGUGGCUGUGAUGUAGGCCUGCAGAUGCAGCUCCAUUCAGCUCUUAGCCUGGAAACUUCCAUGUG
Molecule: long non-coding RNA, 5137 nt
Filed under: Sus scrofa (pig)
Lineage: Eukaryota; Metazoa; Chordata; Mammalia; Artiodactyla; Suidae
Description: lncRNA (ENSSSCG00000059599.1)
Source: RNAcentral